GAUGAACGCUAGCGACAGGCUUAACACAUGCAAGUCGAGGGGCAUCAUGAAUAUAGUUUACUAUAUUUGAUGGCGACCGGCGCACGGGUGAGUAACGCGUAUGUAACCUACCUUAUACAGGGGGAUAGCCCAUGGAAACGUGGAUUAACACCGCAUAGUAUAUAUUGAAGGCAUCUUUAAUAUAUUAAAUAUUAAUAGGUAUAAGAUGGGCAUGCGUAACAUUAGAUAGUUGGAGAGGUAACGGCUCCCCAAGUCAACGAUGUUUAGGGGUUCUGAGAGGAAGGUCCCCCACACUGGUACUGAGACACGGACCAGACUCCUACGGGAGGCAGCAGUGAGGAAUAUUGGUCAAUGGGCGCAAGCCUGAACCAGCCAAGUCGCGUGAAGGAAGACGGUUCUAUGGAUUGUAAACUUCUUUUGUAUGGGAAGAAUAAGAGGUACGAGUACCUUGAUGCCUGUACCAUACGAAUAAGCAUCGGCUAACUCCGUGCCAGCAGCCGCGGUAAUACGGAGGAUGCGAGCGUUAUCCGGAUUUAUUGGGUUUAAAGGGUGCGUAGGUGGCUAGUUAAGUUAGUGGUUAAAUGUAUAGGCUCAACCUGUAUUUGCCAUUAAAACUGGCUGGCUAGAGUACACGCGAGGUAGGCGGAAUAAGUUAAGUAGCGGUGAAAUGCUUAGAUAUAACUUAGAACUCCGAUAGCGAAGGCAGCUUACCAGAGUGUAACUGACACUGAUGCACGAGAGCGUGGGUAGCGAACAGGAUUAGAUACCCUGGUAGUCCACGCCGUAAACGAUGCUCACUGGCUCUAUGCGAUACACCGUAUGGGGCUAAGCGAAAGUAAUAAGUGAGCCACCUGGGGAGUACGUCGGCAACGAUGAAACUCAAAGGAAUUGACGGGGGCCCGCACAAGCGGAGGAACAUGUGGUUUAAUUCGAUGAUACGCGAGGAACCUUACCUGGAUUUAAAUGGAGAAUGCCGUACUGGGAAACUAGUAUUUCUUUCGAGACAUUUUUCAAGGUGCUGCAUGGUUGUCGUCAGCUCGUGCCGUGAGGUGUCGGGUUAAGUCCCUUAACGAGCGCAACCCCUAUCGUUAGUUGCCAUCAGGUGAAGCUGGGCACUCUAGCGAGACUGCCACCGUAAGGUGAGAGGAGGGCGGGGAUGACGUCAAAUCAGCACGGCCCUUACAUCCAGGGCUACACACGUGUUACAAUGGACAUUACAGAGGGUCGCUACUUGGUGACAAGAUGCUAAUCUCAAAAAGUGUUCGUAGUUCGGAUCGGAGUCUGUAACUCGACUCCGUGAAGUUGGAUUCGCUAGUAAUCGCGCAUCAGCCAUGGCGCGGUGAAUACGUUCCCGGGCCUUGUACACACCGCCCGUCAAGCCAUGGAAGCUGGGGGUGCCUAAAGUUCGUAACCGACUUGGCGACAAGAAGGAGCGACCUAGGGCAAAACUAGUAACUGGGGCU
RNAcentral lists this ribosomal RNA (1463 nucleotides) under uncultured bacterium. Its description in RNAcentral is "bacterial SSU rRNA". It matches the Rfam family "Bacterial small subunit ribosomal RNA". The record is from RNAcentral.